UGCCCGGAUGGCGGAAUUGGUAGACGCGCACGACUCAAACUCGUGUACUUAGGUGUGUGGGUUCGAUUCCCACUCCGGUAC
RNAcentral lists this transfer RNA (81 nucleotides) under Flavobacterium lindanitolerans. RNAcentral describes it as "tRNA-Leu". It matches the Rfam family "tRNA". From Rfam's summary of the family: Transfer RNA (tRNA) molecules are approximately 80 nucleotides in length. Their secondary structure includes four short double-helical elements and three loops (D, anti-codon, and T loops). Lineage: Bacteria; Pseudomonadati; Bacteroidota; Flavobacteriia; Flavobacteriales; Flavobacteriaceae. The record is from RNAcentral.